Molecule: ribosomal RNA, 505 nt
Filed under: uncultured bacterium
Lineage: Bacteria
Description: partial 16S ribosomal RNA
Source: RNAcentral
GGAGUUAGCCGGUGCUUCUUCUGUGAGUGAUGUCCUUCCUGCCGGCUAUUAACCCGCAGGCCUUCUUCCUCACUGAAAGUGCUUUACAACCCGAAGGCCUUCUUCACACACGCGGCAUGGCUGGAUCAGGGUUGCCCCCAUUGUCCAAUAUUCCCCACUGCUGCCUCCCGUAGGAGUCUGGGCCGUGUCUCAGUCCCAGUGUGGCUGAUCAUCCUCUCAGACCAGCUACGGAUCGUCGCCUUGGUGAGCCGUUACCUCACCAACCAGCUAAUCCGACAUAGGCUCAUCCGAUAGCGCGAGGCCCGAAGGUCCCCCGCUUUCCCCCGUAGGGCGUAUGCGGUAUUAGCCUGGGUUUCCCCAGGUUAUCCCCCACUACCGGGCAGAUUCCUAUGCAUUACUCACCCGUCCGCCGCUCGCCACCAGGGAGCAAGCUCCCCGUGCUGCCGCUCGACUUGCAUGUGUUAGGCCUGCCGCCAGCGUUCAAUCUGAGCCAGAAUCAAACUCU